Molecule: ribosomal RNA, 261 nt
Filed under: Triticum aestivum (bread wheat)
Lineage: Eukaryota; Viridiplantae; Streptophyta; Magnoliopsida; Poales; Poaceae
Description: partial small subunit ribosomal RNA
Source: RNAcentral
UUAAUUAACUCUGGGGCAAUACUGAAACUACUUCACAUAUGGAAGAUUAAAGUUCUGCUAAGAAUCAAAAUCUUCAUGUGAUUUGUCCAAGAAGUGAUUUUAACCAAGGAUAACUUGGUAAAGCAAAGAUGGGUAGGUAGUUCACGAUGUUGCUUCUGUGACCAGAAUGAAACCAUAAAACACCUAUUUCUCGAUUGUCCUCUAGCCAAACUUCUUUAGCGCACGAUACAUAUAGCCUUUAAUGUUACUCCUCCAAUGUGA